GAUGAACGCUAGCGGGAGGCUUAACACAUGCAAGUCGAGGGGCAGCAUAGGGUAGCAAUACUCUGAUGGCGACCGGCAAACGGGUGAGUAACGCGUAUGCAACCUACCCUGUACAGGGGGAUAACCCGGAGAAAUUCGGACUAAUAUCCCGUAAUAAUAUCCGGAGGCAUCUUUGGAUAUUUAAAGUUCCGACGGUACGGGAUGGGCAUGCGUAACAUUAACUGGUUGGUAAGGUAACGGCUUACCAAGGCUAUGAUGUUUAGGGGUCCUGAGAGGGUGGUCCCCCACACUGGUACUGAGACACGGACCAGACUCCUACGGGAGGCAGCAGUGAGGAAUAUUGGUCAAUGGGCGCAAGCCUGAACCAGCCAUCCCGCGUGCAGGAAGACGGCCCUAUGGGUUGUAAACUGCUUUUCCAGGGAGAGAAACUUACGCACGUGUUGCGUGACUGACGGUACCCUGGGAAUAAGCAUCGGCUAACUCCGUGCCAGCAGCCGCGGUAAACACGAGAUA
This 513-nucleotide ribosomal RNA is filed under the name uncultured bacterium. Its description in RNAcentral is "bacterial SSU rRNA". It matches the Rfam family "Bacterial small subunit ribosomal RNA", at positions 28 to 532 of the family's 1533-position model. The record is from RNAcentral.